This 215-nucleotide long non-coding RNA is filed under the name Setaria italica (foxtail millet). RNAcentral describes it as "long non-coding RNA (SITA_LNC002518)". Lineage: Eukaryota; Viridiplantae; Streptophyta; Magnoliopsida; Poales; Poaceae. The record is from RNAcentral.
UAAAACCAUCGAUAAAGCAAAUUUGAUACUCGUUAUGAUGUUAUAUUAUAAGUUGAGCAAGUAUCCGCAUGAGAAUCCGAAUUCAAACUAUUUAUUUUGUAUUUGUAUUCGAAUUCGAAUUAAAAUGUGGUAAAUAGUGCUAUCCGAAUUCGAUUCCAUGCGUAGAUCCGAAUCCAUCCCUACUCUGUUCUGGUCUUCCCAGUUGUUGUCAUCAC